This 323-nucleotide unclassified non-coding RNA is filed under the name soil metagenome. RNAcentral describes it as "partial contains 5.8S ribosomal RNA, internal transcribed spacer 2, and large subunit ribosomal RNA". The stretch from base 1 to 120 matches the Rfam family "5.8S ribosomal RNA", at positions 35 to 154 of the family's 154-position model. The record is from RNAcentral.
GAUGAAGAACGCAGCGAAAUGCGAUAAGUAGUGUGAAUUGCAGAAUUCAGUGAAUCAUCGAAUCUUUGAACGCACAUUGCGCCCCUUGGUAUUCCAUGGGGCAUGCCUGUUCGAGCGUCAUUUGUACCUUCAAGCUUUGCUUGGUGUUGGGUGUUUGUCCUGAGGGACUCGCCUUAAAGUAAUUGGCAGCCAGUGUUUGGUUUUGAAGCGCAGCACAAGUCGCGAUUCAAAGCUAUACGCCCGCUUCCACAAGCCUUUUUCACUUUUGACCUCGGAUCAGGUAGGGAUACCCGCUGAACUUAAGCUUAUCAAUAAGCGGAGGA